UACGUAGGCAGCAAGCGUUGUUCGGAGUUACUGGGCGUAAAGGGUGCGUAGGCGGUCCUAUAAGUAUGGUGUGAAAUCCUCCCGGCUUAACUGGGAGGGUGCGCUAUAGACUGUGGGACUAGAGUGUGGGAGAGGAAAGUGGAAUUCCUGGUGUAGCGGUGAAAUGCGUAGAUAUCAGGAGGAACACCGGUGGUGUAAACGGCUUUCUGGACCAUAACUGACGCUGAGGAGCGAAAGCGUGGGGAGCGAACAGG
RNAcentral lists this ribosomal RNA (254 nucleotides) under uncultured bacterium. Its description in RNAcentral is "partial 16S ribosomal RNA". It matches the Rfam family "Bacterial small subunit ribosomal RNA", at positions 524 to 776 of the family's 1533-position model. The record is from RNAcentral.